UGGGGAAUAUUGCACAAUGGGCGCAAGCCUGAUGCAGCCAUGCCGCGUGUAUGAAGAAGGCCUUCGGGUUGUAAAGUACUUUCAGCGGGGAGGAAGGGAGUAAAGUUAAUACCUUUGCUCAUUGACGUUACCCGCAGAAGAAGCACCGGCUAACUCCGUGCCAGCAGCCGCGGUAAUACGGAGGGUGCAAGCGUUAAUCGGAAUUACUGGGCGUAAAGCGCACGCAGGCGGUUUGUUAAGUCAGAUGUGAAAUCCUCGGGCUCAACCUGGGAACUGCAUCUGAUACUGGCAAGCUUGAGUCUCGUAGAGGGGAGUAGAAUUCCAGGUGUAGCGGUGAAAUGCGUAGAGAUCUGGAGGAAUACCGGGGGCGAAGGCGGCCCCCUGGACGAAGACUGACGCUCAGGUGCGAAAGCGUGGGGAGCAAACAGG
RNAcentral lists this ribosomal RNA (429 nucleotides) under Chloroflexota bacterium. Its description in RNAcentral is "Chloroflexi bacterium partial 16S ribosomal RNA". It matches the Rfam family "Bacterial small subunit ribosomal RNA", at positions 355 to 776 of the family's 1533-position model. Lineage: Bacteria; Bacillati; Chloroflexota. The record is from RNAcentral.